Molecule: ribosomal RNA, 373 nt
Filed under: uncultured bacterium
Lineage: Bacteria
Description: bacterial SSU rRNA
Rfam family: Bacterial small subunit ribosomal RNA
Source: RNAcentral
AUUGAACGCUGGCGGCAUGCCUUACACAUGCAAGUCGAACGGCAGCACGGGAGCAAUCCUGGUGGCGAGUGGCGAACGGGUGAGUAAUAUAUCGGAACGUGCCCAGUCGUGGGGGAUAACGUAGCGAAAGCUACGCUAAUACCGCAUACGAUCUAUGGAUGAAAGCGGGGGAUCGCAAGACCUCGCGCGAUUGGAGCGGCCGAUAUCAGAUUAGGUAGUUGGUGAGGUAAAGGCUCACCAAGCCGACGAUCUGUAGCUGGUCUGAGAGGACGACCAGCCACACUGGGACUGAGACACGGCCCAGACUCCUACGGGAGGCAGCAGUGGGGAAUAUUGGACAAUGGNGCAAGACCGUGAUCCAGCAAUGCCGCGU